GUCCGAAGGACUCCAAGUUACUCCAAACCUUUAUGGGUAAAAUUACACAAAAACUACUGGACAGAAGGAUCGAUGUGGUACAUCAUCAAAGAACCCAUUAUAUUUUGGUGCGCAUCUGGAUUAGGUGGCAGGAGACUGGCAGGAGGAAACAGCCCCUGGCUACCGAGAAAUGAACCGUGCAGCUCGACUGAUUGAAAGAUUUGUGUCUCUUCUACAAAGGUCACUUCCUCAUUACACAGUGACAAACAGAUGCCAUUUAACUAGGCUCCACUGUACGUUUAGCAGAUACACACACACACAUU
Non-coding RNA from Paralichthys olivaceus (Japanese flounder), 302 nucleotides. The record is from RefSeq and is a predicted model, not a curated record. Lineage: Eukaryota; Metazoa; Chordata; Actinopteri; Pleuronectiformes; Paralichthyidae.